AUUUUUUGAAAUGAAAUAUAGAUUCAGAAUUGUGCAGAAGAAGCUAAUUCUGUUCUGUUUACCACUACCAAAGGCAACAAAUCAAAGGGCAUAGAAUCAGAUCCCAGAUAAUCAUCUAAAAGAGCUUUAUAUCUUGCCAGAGAAGUUGUACGCAUUUCAACAAUUAGAGAUCCUUUAUUCGCUUUUCUAGUACUAUAAAUUCUUCAUGGUGUGUUAUUAUGAAAAUAUGAAUAAAUUAUCUAACAAAAAUCUUCUUUAUACUAGAUUUCAAGAUUUUUAUACGCCCUGAAUUCAUAUGUCAUUUGAUAUGGGUGUCACGUGUUGCUCCGGUCCCUGGAGAAUACAAGGCUAUAAUUUCAGUAACAAAAUGAAAGUACGUAGCAGUAAGCAUCCGACAUCUGCACAAGUAACGUCAACAGAAGCUUUUUCCCGCAAAUCAUAAACGCGUUCAUGGCACUACAGAAACUCCUGGAGUAAAAAGACAGUGAAUUCUGAAUUGUUGCUUAUUUCCUCCGAAGAAAAGAUUUUUCACUUUUUAUAACUUUUAUGGUUGGCAUAUUAGAUAUGCGGUCUUAAUAGAAUCUUCCAAAAAUGGAUGUCUCUAUUGGAAUAUUGAUGGUUGUCGAAGCCAACAAAAAUAAAUUCUUACUCUAAAUAAAUUGUGUGUAGUGAUUGAGCAGGGUUGUGUCCACAGAGAUCGGUAAUUUUUAAAUCAUUUUAAAACACAAAACAUAAAAUGAGAGUUUUGUUGACAAUAAUAAAAAUCAAAUUAAAAUAACAAGAAUGCAAAUUAAAGUUGUAAUUCAAAUUGGAGAAAGUUCUGGUUGAAGGAAUUAACUCAGCUUGAUUCGACUACUGAUCAUUGAUUCAAAUAUAGAUUUUUAUUACUCAUGAAUAGACCGGUUAUAGCUACUGAGACCCUCUAAUAGCCAAUCUCUCCUUAACUAGUCGGUAACCAAGGUACGACCGUUGGUUAUUUCCCUAAUCAAUAGACAACCCUAGAUACGAUCAUAUGAUUUAAUCAAUUGACAGCCUGAAAAACCAGAGAGACCCAAAUCCUAAUCAACACAUAUGAUGAUUCAUUUAAAUUAAAUUGUUUAUUCUCACAACACAACUCUCUGCUAUGUUAUUUGUCACAAACAUUAAAUUCUUCAUAUGAUGAAUCCUUUAAUUGACAAUAGAUUAAGUUGAUAAUUAAAUAGUAGCCAAUUACCUAAUUAACAAACAUAAUCAUGAAAAUAAUUCAGAGAAUAAACAAAUACCCAAAAAGUAAUAAAACAAUUAAGGCACAAGAAAUAUCUCACAGUAGUGAUGAAUCAAAGCUUCAUUAUCCUUCAACCAGAAAAAUAAGUUUAGUUCUUCAUAGAGAGAAGAGAAAAAUUAGAUCUAUGGUUUCUUUCUUUUCUCCAAAAUCCCCCUCUUUCACAAUAAAUUCCUCCCUUAAAUACAUUCUCUCUCUCUCCUCUUUUAGAGUUCUAUUUAAAAUAAAAUACUAAAUAUUAAAUUCGUAAUUAAAAAAAUAGCCAAAAUUACAAAACACGUUAAACUAAAAACUGCAGAUUCGCAGUUGACAGCACGCGCCCACUUUCAUAAGAUAGAAUAAGAACAUUCAACCACCAAGAAGAUCCAUUCAAAAUUCAAGUGCAACAAGAUUUAAUAACCCUCUCAAUAACUUCACUCCAUGCACUCAAAGUGUUUAGGGUGUCAUUUAUCCACUCAAAUCAAAUCAAAGAAUGCUAUUACCAUAAGCUUGCUCAUAUAUCACAUAUCAAUCCACAAAACAUGAAUAAAAUGCAAAAAUUUAAGGGUCUUAAAAGGGUUAUAAUGGGGUUAAAUAGGUGAAAUGAAAAAUAAAGGUCUACGAAAGAAAAAGAGAUCAAAACGAGAAGAAUGAACUCAUUGAAUGAACUUAUGAUAUCAAAAUGCUUAUUUUUACUCAAGUCACCAAGAAUGUAAACAUAUUUUUUUUAUUUUUUCUUUUUCUUUUUUUUUCUUGUUUUGUUUUUGUUUUUUUUUUGUUUUGUUUUUUAAUCAAACAAAAGAAACGAACCUUGCACAAUUUAAUUCAAGCAUAAUGCUUGUUGAUCUAAUUGAGAAACUUUAAUACAAGGUAGAAAAAGCAACAAAAGAUAUCCACACAAUGAGUCCAAAAAUCUCCUUAAAUUGAGGCUCAAAAAGAAGAAAAAUGGUUAAGUACACGGAGAGAAUUAGAUGGGUAAUGGUUAAGGCUCAAACAAAUGUAGUAAAUAAAGGUCUUCGAGUAGAGAAAAAGGAAAAUGCGAGAAUAGAAAAAUGGUAAAUGGUUUGCCCUCAUCAUUUUAAUGCAUAAAAUCCCGUAAUAUGGCUUCAACAUGCAUAACAAAGCAAGUUCUAGAAUAAACAAACUAGUAUUGAUAUUCACAUAACAAAAAUAAUUAGAGUAAAGUGGUUGCUCAUAGGCUCAAAUCAUCACAAAGUUGGUAAAUUUGCCAUCAAAUCAUGUACACUCUUCAAAUGAAUCAACCAUCAAUAGUGGUGUAGAAUGAAAAGAAGGUAUGAGUGAGAUAUAAAAGAAAAGGUAAAAAAAAUAAUAAGCGAAAAAGAUGUAUGUAGUAAAAAA
Molecule: long non-coding RNA, 2599 nt
Filed under: Citrus x clementina
Lineage: Eukaryota; Viridiplantae; Streptophyta; Magnoliopsida; Sapindales; Rutaceae
Description: Citrus clementina (C. clementina) long non-coding RNA (CCLE_LNC003118)
Source: RNAcentral